GACGAACGCUGGCGGCGUGCUUAACACAUGCAAGUCGAACGGAAAGGCCCUGCUUUUGUGGGGUGCUCGAGUGGCGAACGGGUGAGUAACACGUGAGUAACCUGCCCUUGACUUUGGGAUAACUUCAGGAAACUGGGGCUAAUACCGGAUAGGAGCUCCUGCUGCAUGGUGGGGGUUGGAAAGUUUCGGCGGUUGGGGAUGGACUCGCGGCUUAUCAGCUUGUUGGUGGGGUAGUGGCUUACCAAGGCUUUGACGGGUAGCCGGCCUGAGAGGGUGACCGGCCACAUUGGGACUGGGAUACGGCCCAGACGCCUACGGGAGGCAGCAGUGGGGAAUAUUGCACAAUGGGCGGAAGCCUGAUGCAGCAACGCCGCGUGCGGGAUGAAGGCCUUCGGGUUGUAAACCGCUUUCGCCUGUGACGAAGCGUGAGUGACGGUAAUGGUAAAGAAGCACCGGCUAACUACGUG
This 467-nucleotide ribosomal RNA is filed under the name uncultured bacterium. Its description in RNAcentral is "partial 16S ribosomal RNA". It matches the Rfam family "Bacterial small subunit ribosomal RNA", at positions 28 to 507 of the family's 1533-position model. The record is from RNAcentral.